UACGGGGGUGGCAAGCGUUGUUCGGAAUUACUGGGCGUAAAGGGCGCGCAGGCGGUCGUUCAAGUCGCGUGUGAAAGCCCCCGGCUCAACUGGGGAGGGUCACGCGAUACUGAUCGACUCGAAGGCAGGAGAGGGUAGUGGAAUUCCCGGUGUAGUGGUGAAAUGCGUAGAUAUCGGGAGGAACACCUGCGGCGAAGGCGGGUUGCUGGGCUGACACUGACGCUGAUGCGCGAAAGCUAGGGGAGCGAACGGG
This 253-nucleotide ribosomal RNA is filed under the name uncultured bacterium. RNAcentral describes it as "partial 16S ribosomal RNA". It matches the Rfam family "Bacterial small subunit ribosomal RNA", at positions 524 to 776 of the family's 1533-position model. The record is from RNAcentral.